Molecule: ribosomal RNA, 464 nt
Filed under: uncultured bacterium
Lineage: Bacteria
Description: partial 16S ribosomal RNA
Rfam family: Bacterial small subunit ribosomal RNA
Source: RNAcentral
CUACGGGCCGCUGCAGUGGGGAAUAUUGCACAAUGGGCGCAAGCCUGAUGCAGCCAUGCCGCGUGUAUGAAGAAGGCCUUCGGGUUGUAAAGUACUUUCAGCGGGGAGGAAGGGAGUAAAGUUAAUACCUUUGCUCAUUGACGUUACCCGCAGAAGAAGCACCGGCUAACUCCGUGCCAGCAGCCGCGGUAAUACGGAGGGUGCAAGCGUUAAUCGGAAUGACUGGGCGUAAAGCGCACGCAGGCGGUUUGUUAAGUCAGAUGUGAAAUCCCCGGGCUCAACCUGGGAACUGCAUCUGAUACUGGCAAGCUUGAGUCUCGUAGAGGGGGGUAGAAUUGCAGGUGUAGCGGUGAAAUGCGUAGAGAUCUGGAGGAAUACCGGUGGCGAAGGCGGCCCCUUGGACGAAGACUGACGCUCAGGUGCGAAAGCGUGGGGAGCAAACAGGAUUAGAUACCCCUGUAGUC